UGAGCGAUUGCUGAAUGAGAAGGUAACUUCUUAUUGAAAUUGUUUUAGGGAAAAAAAAAAAGAAGGUAAUUUUAGGUUUAUAGAAUCCUUUGCUGCAAGCAGGGUACACUUCCAGUUUUGACUCUCAUGGAGAUGGUAUACUUAAGACUUUCUCUUUGCAGCAUCCAGAUUGGAGAAUUACUUGUAGCUAAGCUAUGGGAUAGGAUAAAAUAAUAUAUAAUAAAAAAAAUAAAAGAGCAAAUUCAUUUUUUUUAUUGAACUUUCUGAGCUGGCUAUUUGAAGUUGGCCCCUUUGCACUAUUUCAAUCCUUGGCCAUUAUGUUGUUGCCAACAAAUUGUGCUUUUGAUAGGUUUUUCCUCUUAACAUGGUCCCUUCGGCAACUUUAACAUGAAUUGACUUCCUCCAUCUGCAAUGGAUCCAAGGAAAUGCCUUAAACUAGUGAUUUAUUAUUUGCUGACUUAAUUACUUGUAGUCAAGCUACUGGGGGAAAAAAAUAGAGACUCUGUGAUAGGUUUGGCUGCUUACUUUGAAGUGGAGUGUACCAUCGUUCAAGUAUGGUCUACCAUCGUUCAAGUAUGGUCUGCCAUCAACUAUUGAUGUUGAUUUCAUAUUCUCGAUGAUGUUUGCCUUGAGCAAUGCAUCUAGUUUUGUUCUCAUUGCCAUUUGUAGAGAGGUGUAUUAAAUUAAACUAGUGUCUAAUAAGUUUAUAUUUUAAUUGUCUUUUCUAGAAUGUGAAAUACUAUGAUUUUCUCAAACUUUUGGAGUCAUCAAUGAGAAAAGAAAAGUAAAUUAAAAAUCUGUGUGUACCAUUGUACAUCUGUGACCAAUUCUCAAUUUUAGCUACAUUUGUAUGUCUAUUUCAUACUGCAAAAAUUUAAUCCUAUAGCUUGUCCUCUGCUGCUUAGUUUUUUUUGGUUCUCUGAAACCGCUUAAAAAAAUGUGAAUGAGUAAGAUUAUGUUUACUCAAUAUCUAUUUUUAUAGUAGGUGCUUCAUCUCAAAUGCUAAGGUUGUUGAACAUGGUUUUAUUUAUUGCUUUGGCAAUUGGUGUUAGUUACUG
This 1058-nucleotide unclassified non-coding RNA is filed under the name Hevea brasiliensis (rubber tree). The record is from RNAcentral. Lineage: Eukaryota; Viridiplantae; Streptophyta; Magnoliopsida; Malpighiales; Euphorbiaceae.